UUAACUCAAAUUUGUAUGGAGUUCGAGGGUUUACCUAUAUUUGCCGCUAGGGGCGCUGGUCUAACUCCAUACAAUUUGGGUUU
RNAcentral lists this microRNA precursor (83 nucleotides) under Bombyx mori (domestic silkworm). Its description in RNAcentral is "mir-2807 microRNA precursor family". It matches the Rfam family "mir-2807 microRNA precursor family". The record is from Rfam by way of RNAcentral. Lineage: Eukaryota; Metazoa; Arthropoda; Insecta; Lepidoptera; Bombycidae.